UGUUAAAUUGGCAGACUAGUGCAUUAAAUUUAGAAUUUAAAUAUGUAAUUAAUUUUCAUUUAACAA
This 66-nucleotide transfer RNA is filed under the name Pedionis sagittata. RNAcentral describes it as "tRNA-Leu". Lineage: Eukaryota; Metazoa; Arthropoda; Insecta; Hemiptera; Cicadellidae. The record is from RNAcentral.